RNAcentral lists this small RNA (156 nucleotides) under Arabidopsis thaliana (thale cress). RNAcentral describes it as "ATSL210040". The record is from RNAcentral. Lineage: Eukaryota; Viridiplantae; Streptophyta; Magnoliopsida; Brassicales; Brassicaceae.
GGUUGAUAAAAAAUUUGUUACGAAAAAAAAAAUUUGGCGGGAAAAAUGUUUGGCGGAAAAUAUUUUUUUGACGGCAAAAAUUUGGCGGGAAAACUUGAGUUUCCAAUUACAUGUUCCUAUUAGAUUAGGGUAAUACUAGUUAGCUUUUCAUACUUU